GAAGGGUCUGGGCUCGAGCCUGCCUGGAGCCGCCGCCGGUGCAGAUCUUGGUGGUAGUAGCAAAUACUCCAGCGAGGCCCUGGAGGACUGAUGUGGAGAAGGGUUUCGUGUGAACAGCCGUUGCACACGAGUCAGUCGAUCCUAAGCCCUAGGAGAAAUCCGACGCCUACGGCGACGGGAUUUUUGAAAAUUUUUAUUGACCCGUUGAUCGGGCGAAAGGGAAUCCGGUUCCUAUUCCGGAACCCGGCAGCGGAACCGCUGUUUGUCGGGCCCUCACAAGGGGUUCGUCAGGGUAACCUAAAAGGGCCCGGAGACGCCGUCGGGAGCCCCGGAAAGAGUUUUCUUUUCUGCAUGAGCGUUCGAGUUCCCUGGAAUCCUCUCGCAGGGAGAUAGGGUUUGGAACGCGAAGAGCACCGCAGUUGCGGCGGUGCCCGGGAAUUCCCGACGGACCUUGAAAAUCCGGGAGAGGGCCACGUGGAGGUGUCGCGCCGGCUCGUACCCAUAUCCGCAGCAGGUCUCCAAGGUGAAGAGCCUCUAGUCGAUAGAAUAAUGUAGGUAAGGGAAGUCGGCAAAUCGGAUCCGUAACUUCGGG
Molecule: ribosomal RNA, 592 nt
Filed under: Ischnura barberi
Lineage: Eukaryota; Metazoa; Arthropoda; Insecta; Odonata; Coenagrionidae
Description: partial large subunit ribosomal RNA
Rfam family: Eukaryotic large subunit ribosomal RNA
Source: RNAcentral